GGCCAAGUCAGGUCCCUGCCCUGGAGAGAAGACAGCUGGAAACACGGCUGGUGCACGGAGAUCCUCAAGAGUCCAGGAUGCCCCCUGCAGAGGAACUCUGGAAGAGUAGGGGGGUGAGGAAAAGAGUGACCCGAAAUGACCCAGACAGGGACGGGGCCAAACAGUGGGCCAACAUUCAGCACACUUCGGAGUUUAAAGUCAAAACCCACAUGUGCAGCAUAGAUCCCGGACUGGAUCCUACAACAAAGAAAGGAUGUUGGUGGAAAAACUGGUGAAAUCCAAGAAUAAAGACAAGAAUAUUAUCCCGAAGCAAAGACACCUGGACACGGGCACCUGGGGGCAGAUUUCAAGGCAAAGCUCAACCAAAGCAGCCUCGGGUCUGACUCUAAGCCUUUUCCUGUACUAAUAAGACUCCUGGAGGCCACAGGUCGUUGAGGAAUUUAGCAGCAAGAGAUUCACAGACCACGUGAAAGUGUUUGCUCUGAAAUCACUGAGCAACCUCUCUCCAUGGUGCUAUUAAUUCUCAUAAGCGACUGUCUUUUUCUUUUCAUGUAAAAUGCUACUCAGAACUCUGAUCGCCAUCUGAACCCCCCUCAAGAGUGCUGCUAGCUACAGAUGGGUGUCUCUAAUGAAUUUUUUAACUGCUGCCCUAAUAAAAUAUGGAUGA
Zalophus californianus (California sea lion) is the source of this 667-nucleotide long non-coding RNA. RefSeq lists it as uncharacterized. Lineage: Eukaryota; Metazoa; Chordata; Mammalia; Carnivora; Otariidae. The transcript has 4 exons. The record is from RefSeq and is a predicted model, not a curated record.